Molecule: ribosomal RNA, 630 nt
Filed under: Mortierellaceae sp. QLF87
Lineage: Eukaryota; Fungi; Mortierellomycota; Mortierellomycetes; Mortierellales; Mortierellaceae
Description: eukaryotic LSU rRNA
Rfam family: 5.8S ribosomal RNA (bases 171-324)
Source: RNAcentral
GGGGUUUUUCAGUGUUUUUUAUGGCACUUUAAUCCAUAUCCACCUUGUGUGCAAUGUCAUCUCACUGGGGUUACGUUUGUAAAAUUUCGUGAUCCGUUUGGGAUUUAUAUCUACUCAGAACUUUAGUCAUUUUGUCUGAAACAUAUUAUGAAUAACUUAAUUCAAAAUACAACUUUCAACAACGGAUCUCUUGGCUCUCGCAUCGAUGAAGAACGCAGCGAAAUGCGAUACGUAAUGUGAAUUGCAGAAUUCAGUGAAUCAUCGAAUCUUUGAACGCAUAUUGCGCUCUCUGGUAUUCCGGAGAGCAUGCUUGUUUGAGUAUCAGUAAACACCUCAACUCCCUUUCUUCUUGAAAUGGAGCUGGACUUGAGUGAUCCCAACGCUUUAUUCAUAAAGUGGCGGGUUACUUGAAAUGCAGGUGCAGCUGGACUUUUCUCUGAGCUAUAAGCAUAUCUAUUUAGUCUGCCUCAAAAACAGAUUAUUACCUUUGCUGCAGCUAACAUAAAGGAGAUUAGUUCUUGUGCUGACUGAUGCAGGAUUCACAAAGACCGCUUCGGCUGUCUUUGUAAACUCGAUCUCAAAUCAAGUAAGACUACCCGCUGAACUUAAGCAUAUCAAUAAGCGGAGGAA